RNAcentral lists this long non-coding RNA (2946 nucleotides) under Phaseolus vulgaris (common bean). RNAcentral describes it as "long non-coding RNA (PVUL_LNC001999)". The record is from RNAcentral. Lineage: Eukaryota; Viridiplantae; Streptophyta; Magnoliopsida; Fabales; Fabaceae.
UAAAUGAAAGAAAAAUCAUGUUGUCAUUGUACAAGUAAGAUGGUCAUGAUACUGACAUGCAUCAAUAUGGUGAUCUGAUAUAUAAAAAAAAUGCACUCAUCACAUCAGUUGUCAGGCCAAGAACUUACGAAGUAGAGAGCAGAAAAAGUUGCAACAAUUAUGAGGAUCAACGGUCCAAAUCCCAAGAAGAACGUUCCUCCAAUUGUCAAUAGAAGUUUAGCACGAGGUAUUAAGCCCUGAAAUAGAUGAAUACACAAGUGAUUUCACGGGAUUUAACUCAAUAUAAUAUAUUAUUAAUUCUGAUGUAGAGGCAUUUCUAUAGGAUAUAUAGAUUUUUUUUUUCAUAUUUAGCAUCCAAAAGACUCCUCAUAAUUUAGGCAGUGCAGCAAUUGCUACAUUCUCAUGUAGUAAUAAUAUACGAUGAAAAAGAAAGUGCAUCAAUAUCUAAACUGGUCUUACAGAAGGCCUUUGCAUACUAUGGACAUCAUCAUGUUAAUUUCUUAAUAAUAUUCUGUUAUUAAUACUAGAACAGUGUACUGAUGAACGAUUUCUUCAAGUUACUAAUGCCCAUUUCACACUCAAAUUUAGGGAGUAUUUAGGUAAACAAUUUAAUUAAAUACUUAUUCAAUAAGAUUUUGUUAUAUGAGAGUUUAUUCUUAAGCUUCAUAGUGAAGUGUACUAGAAUAAGCUAAAAACAUAUUAUUUUGAUAAGCUCAUCUACAAAGCUAAUUAAAAUAAGUGAAAAUGAACUUAUGAGAAAGUCACAAGUCAUGAAGCACUAUACUUCAAUUCACUUUGCAUAUCCAUAUCCGAUACUCUUAAAUGUUUCACCAAUAAAGUAUCUAAGCCUUUAAAAGAACUAUAAAACUCGAAUACAGCUACAUAUGAAACAUUGAAAUAUAUGUACAGUAUAGAACUAGAAACAUAGUCUCUGGGUGGGGCAAAAAUGGAAAUUACCCUCUUCACAAAUGAUUUCAAGAAAGAAAUAAGAUUGAUAUUAUUUCUAUUUGUCAGGAAAUAAAAAAAUUAUUUAUGAUGACAAUGAUUUAUGAAUUCUAUUUUGUUUUUAGUAAUGCCUAAAAGUAUGUUAAUUUGGAUUUGCUUGCAGAAUAUAAUUUUAUGUUUUAUGCAUUUCUUAAAAUAUCUGUAUAUGAAUCCUACACAUAUUAUAUCUUAUGUAUUUUUAGAAUAAUUGUAUCUAAUACAUAUCUUAUUAAAAACAGGUAUAGUAUUUCUGAAUCAUAACAUAAGCACAAAUAAGCUGUGGCAAACAUUUCAUUAGUCUUAUGCAAUCAUUGAAAUUCAUAAUAAGAAGCAUGGAAGCUGUAUUUCAACAUGAAGAUUCAGAAAUGAAAAAUUCAAAAUUUUAACAGCUUAUUAUUUUCUUAAGUCUUAAAGUAAUAAUAAUUUACUACAGAGAAGCUAAAGUACACACUUCAAAGCUAUUUAUGGCAACACAAGAAAUAAUGUCGUUAGAAUUUAACUAUGAAAUCUUACAUCUCUGAAAUUAAGGGAGUUACUUAUUGCAAAACUGAUAAGAUACAAUUUUAUUUUGAAAAUUAUUUUAAAUUCUUUCUAAUUCUAUGCAUUCUGCAGAAGCCAUUUGAAUUUUAAGUUCCAAACAUGUGAUGUCUCAAAGGGGACUAUUUGAAGUUCUAAAUUCAACAGCAAGAUCAAGUUUGUUGAUUUGAGUAACAAGCCAAAAGUUUAUAGCAGUAACAGCUGCCAGCUAAAAAGGGCUACUGAUGUCACUCAUUAUUAGACCUACUAUUUAUAUAAUUGUUGACACAUAAAAGAUUAAAAAGUAUCGAAUGUUUAGAGAAUAAGGUUGAAACCACAAUCUUGUAAGUUGCCAUUCAUUAAUUCAUAGCUGGAUUUCAGUACUUCUUUUCAUAUGUUCAUCCUUCGUGUCUUUUCCUUGUCCUCCCUCCUCAUUUUCCUCUCUCUUGUCUCUCAUUAAUAAAAAAAAACUAAAUUAGUAUUUUUUGUUCAACACCGGAUAACAAAGACAAACUACUGACAACAAAACUAUUGAAAUAACAUAACUGUUUGUUUAUAAAUUAUUUAAGGAAAAGGAAUGUUGACAAUGAAUCAACCUCAAGACCUUCACUGUUCAGGGCCAUAGAUCGUUCCCUCUGAUUGUCUAGACUCCUCUCAACAUUGGUUGACACAAAUUUUCUUUUUGGGAAACCUCUAUCUUCCUCAUUCACGUACACCUCUUCAUCAAGUUCAUAGUUGCUUUGUUGGUAAUCAUCAAGCAAUGAUGUAGGGGUCAUACCUCUCCUCUUCAAUUCCUUCAUAAAUAAUGACUCCGGAGGCUCUUCACCUGAAAACAAAACAGAAGCAGUAUGAAGACACAAAAAGGUAUUGUCCAUUUUGAUGUUCUCUUUAACCAGUUGUAGACUAUAAUCUGAACCCCUUCACUACAAAACCUACUUGUCUAGCCAAAACAUAAUGAGAUACUGUUUUUUUUGCUAACCAACACAUGAAAGGCCACACAAAUAAACAUGCUUAAAGCACAAGAACUCAUCCUACACCAGAUGAAGACAGACAUAAAAGGGGGAAAAAAUCUAAAUUUUAUUUUAGUAAUCUGCCAAGCAAAGAGAGUGGAUAUCACAAAUACAAAUCAUUAAACAAACAGAGCUAAGAAAUUUUAGUAAAUUUCUGUAUUAUUUCAAAUUAAAAAGCAACUAUUUUUUCUCAUUAAAACUAGAAUUAUAACAAUUCCAAAUAACCAUCAUUAAAUGAGACAUGAAAAUAAUUUAAAAAAAAAUCAAACUUGCCAUUUUUUUGGUUAUUGGAAUCUUGAGAACUACAACAGACCCUGAAAGUGGAAGACUUAGAAGAGGUGAAAGUUUGCAGCUUUGCGAUCCUUUUGUGGAAACAGCAUGGUAGGUGAUUGUUCCACGUGGAUUUUCUGGGGAAAUUAUAUUGGGAAAGGGAAAG